Dipodomys ordii (Ord's kangaroo rat) is the source of this 127-nucleotide small nucleolar RNA. Lineage: Eukaryota; Metazoa; Chordata; Mammalia; Rodentia; Heteromyidae. The record is from Ensembl.
AAAAUCAUCACCAUAAGCUGCGUUUUUAUGCUGACUGUAUAGAAAGAGGAAGCAGAGCAAACCUAUCCCAUAUAACAUCUCAGCCUAAGCCCUGUGCCUUGUCUGUGUUGUAGAUGAGGAGACAUGG